CCUACGGGAGGCUGCAGUGAGGAAUAUUGGUCAAUGGACGAGAGUCUGAACCAGCCAAGUAGCGUGAAGGAUGACUGCCCUAUGGGUUGUAAACUUCUUUUAUAAAGGAAUAAAACGAGGCACGUGUGCCUUUUUGCAUGUACUUUAUGAAUAAGCAUCGGCUAACUCCGUGCCAGCAGCCGCGGUAAUACGGAGGAUCCGAGCGUUAUCCGGAUUUAUUGGGUUUAAAGGGAGCGUAGAUGGGUUGUUAAGUCAGUUGUGAAAGUUUGCGGCUCAACCGUAAAAGUGCAAUUGAAACUGGUAGUCUUGAGUACAGUUGAGGUAGGCGGAAUUCGUGGUGUAGCGGUGAAAUGCUUAGAUAUCACGAAGAACCCCGAUUGCGAAGGCAGCUUACUAAACUGAGACUGACAUUGAGGCUCGAAAGUGUGGGUAUCAAACAGGAUUAGAUACCCCAGUAGUC
Molecule: ribosomal RNA, 460 nt
Filed under: uncultured bacterium
Lineage: Bacteria
Description: partial 16S ribosomal RNA
Rfam family: Bacterial small subunit ribosomal RNA
Source: RNAcentral